GAUGAACGCUGGCGGCGUGCCUAAUACAUGCAAGUCGAGCGCAGAGACCCGGACCUUUCUCCGCUGGGGUGAGCGGCGGACGGGUGAGUAACACGUGGGUAACCUGCCUAUAAGUCUGGGAUAACUUCGGGAAACGGGAGCUAAUACCGGAUAAUAUAUUGAACCGCAUGGUGCGAUGGUGGAAGGCGGUGUUGCGGUGAGUGAUAGAUGGGCCCUCGCCGCCUUAGCUAGUUGGGAAGGUGACGGCUGACCAAGGCAACGAUGCGUGGCCGGCCUGGGAGGUGGGUCGGCGACCCUGGACCUGAGACACGGUCCAGGGUCCUACGGGAGGCAGCAGUAGGGAGUGUUGCGCAUAGGGCGAAGGCCUGACGCAGCAAGCCCGCGCGAGUGAUGAAGGUCUUCGGAUUGUAAGACGCUGUUCUUUGUCACGAACAACUGUGUCGGUAACGAGGGUUGUCGUGACGGUACCUAAUCAGAAAGCCCCGGCUAACUACGUG
This 497-nucleotide ribosomal RNA is filed under the name uncultured bacterium. RNAcentral describes it as "partial 16S ribosomal RNA". It matches the Rfam family "Bacterial small subunit ribosomal RNA", at positions 28 to 507 of the family's 1533-position model. The record is from RNAcentral.